GUGUGAGCGUCUUUCGAGUCACAUGAUUGUAUUUCAAGCUAUUUAAAAGCCCAUUCGUUCUGUAAGUUUGUAAGGAAAUAAUAAUACAAAAAAAGACAGCAAGACAGCAGCAAGCAGAUCAAUACAGCUGCUUCUGCAAAGUAAGAAGCUCGCUGAAAGAAAAGAAUAACGCAACAAGUCUGAAGGAGAGCCGCGCCGGUCGGUGCAAUAGGAGGGGGGUGUCAGUCAGCGUGAGUGAGCAUUGAAGAACUUGCUUUAAAACAAGAAAUCGCCUGCAUAGCUUGGCUUGCUGCUUCGAGAAGUUCCAGAGCGUUCUUGAAACAAAACGCACCCAACCGCGUUCCGGUAUAACUGGAUACCUUACCGAGCGAACUGCUCUGACCCAGCGCCAUGGGAGUGAAAGGGUUGCACUGCUUUCCCUGGUACAGCUGCUGGAAGGAGAGAAGCAAGGAGGCUGGUCGAAACAAGCUGUGUGAACGGGCCGCUGGAAAAGCUAGGCUGUCGUCUACGCAGUCAGUCAGCAGCGAGGGCGACCCACAGAGCCACCGGGCCUACUUCAGCAGGAAGGCCCGCGUAUCCUUUCGCCACGAGAUGGACUCCCCAGUGGCGAUCAUCGACUCCACUAACUGAGGACGACCUCCCCCUCCCUAAUUACCCAGGCCCUUAAACGGAACAGUGUGUGCGCCCAUUCCUGGAGAGGGAGACCCCUUCACAACAGACGGCAGUCCCUCCUCACAUCAGCAGUCUCUGCUUGUCCUACUUUGGGUUGUUCAGCUCUACCACGCUUCCUGGCUGUGCUGCAUUUCUGUUACGUGCUAUAAUUAUUUUUUUUCCCUGGAGGGCUAACACAUAAGAGUCUAAAAAUCAAAGGAUAUGUGCCCUGCAUGCUGGGAUAUAUUUGCUAGCGCUGCGUGGUCUGAUUCUUAUCUGACUGUUUGGCUCCAGCUCUCUCUGCAGGAGAGGGUCGCUGGGGUCGAACGGGGGCUGAUUCACCGUUCAGAGUGAAGCCAGGGCAGAAACAGCUGCUUGAGUUUGUGCGGAUCUCCGCUCUCCUCCACAGGGUCUAAGAAAAGCUGAGAUCCACACAGAUCCAU
This is a long non-coding RNA of Polyodon spathula (Mississippi paddlefish), 1094 nucleotides long. RefSeq lists it as uncharacterized. The record is from RefSeq and is a predicted model, not a curated record. NCBI's taxonomy places the organism in Eukaryota, Metazoa, Chordata, Actinopteri, Acipenseriformes, Polyodontidae. The transcript is spliced from 3 exons.